GUAAAACCUUCCAUAAAAAUUUCAUUCAGAUUGAACUAGACCAUCUCCUUUUAAAUAAUAUACAUGAUUCCAUCUAGAUCUGCAUCUUACAUAUAACAGAUUUUCAGAAUAAAAUCAUAAGAAUAAUGACAUCUCAGGGGCUGGAAUGAACGAGAGAAUGCCUUGACCAAAUAGUUCAAACAGUGAUGCCACUAGAUGCCCAGAUUUCAAAUCAUCCUUCCACACCUGAUUGAGGAUGGCCGAUGUCUUCAUAGAUCGAUGAUCUCCCUUCCCCCUUUCAACUUUGCGGUCCAAGUCAUUACUGUUUGGCAUAUGUGCAGAAGAUGUGGAUGGGCCCACAUUAGAAUCAUUUGAAGGAGCUGGAGUGAUUGCUUCGCCUGGCAUAUGUGAUGGUGAUAAGUCUGUUGACACCACAUCAACUGGACCAUCAGUUGCUAACCUCUUUGGUGGCGGCUGUUCCAAGUGCUCUGUGCCUGCCUUGCGUUUAUUUGAACAUGUAACAAUUUUUCUAUUGUCCCUCCACACAGCAUGUGCUGGAGGUGAUGGCAAAGGUGGGAAAAUCUUGAGACGGUCAUAUAUGCACUGUCCUGCUGCACGCAGCAAUGCUCCAUAAACACGCCAAGCUUCAUACCUCUUCAUCUCAUUCCUUUGCUUCUCAAGGAGCAUCUCUGGUUCUAGAACUCGGAGAUAAGGCUCGAGGUUUGGCAGUACAAGAAGGCGAACCACGUUAGGUCCUAGGGCUGCCAACCCUUGAAUUGCACCAUAGUGCUGAGUCAGUGACCGUUUUGGGUCCAAAAGUGCAUUGAGCAAAGUUUUUGUCAAACGUGUCUGGAGACUGCCAUAAAUAUGCCCAAAUCUUUUGCAUAUCGAGGCAACCAGGCUAGCAGUGAAGUCUCUGAGUUCCCAGUGGUUGUCCGCAAAUCUAUUCCCUAACCUUUUUGCAACGAGGCAGGUGACUACAGAUGGCAUCAAUUGAUGUAGAUAAGGUUCAAUAUGAAUGUGAGGAUUCUGAAGAAGACUCCAAACAACACGCAUCAAAGCAAAGAGAAGUUUAUAAUCAUUUAAACCACAAGCAACCUCAUCAGCUAUGAAGCACGUGAAAUAAGGAACCAACGGAUGAAGUCCCGAGUCAGUGGCUAAACUCACCAACGCUUCUUUAAAGAGGGCUGAAUCAGACCUUCUCAACGUAAGCUCUGUGAUUUUAUCAAAGUAUAACUGAAGCUCCCUAGAUAGUACAUGCUUAACUGGCAAUUUAAUAUCAACAGGAAGUUUAUCCUUUUGUUCACUGUUUUUGCCAUCAGAAGGAGGUGCAAUAACUUCCAAUGGAGCAUUUUCAGGUAUAGCAGGUUGGACACCUUCAAUAGCUAGCCAGUGACAAACAACUGAAGUAUCAAGUGGUGCUUUUGGUAAUGGAGCUUCAAUCACAUCUUUAAAAUCCACAUCCUUGUCGUCAAUGUAAAACAGAUCCCUAUGACCAAUGGCUCUUUUGAACUGCAAAGGACCACCUGAUGCAAAGCCAUAUAUUGGCUCGACAUUUCUGAGGUUGAGAGCAGCAUCAACAUCAUCAGAGGUCAAGAUAGUCCUCUUGGAAUGGCGCAUACAUUUGAUAGCUUCUUGCAUGACCUCACGCAUGCGAUAUUCGACAUCAGGAGCGAGAGAAAGGGCUGCAUCUUCACUCAAAUUGUUUAUGCCAAUGCUUUGCGCUAUCACUUCUAUGGUCUCCUUUGGCACUAUACUCAUCUUGUGGCCCUCAGAAUCCAGAUGCUUCGCUAAUUCAUGUAUUUCAGUAAGCUCAAUUACUCAUAACCAUGGCUCCACGGCUGACGAAGGAAAAAACCUAAGUCUUUGAAUUUAGACUCUUCCGCGCUUAGGAACAGC
This 1878-nucleotide unclassified non-coding RNA is filed under the name Hevea brasiliensis (rubber tree). Lineage: Eukaryota; Viridiplantae; Streptophyta; Magnoliopsida; Malpighiales; Euphorbiaceae. The record is from RNAcentral.